RNAcentral lists this ribosomal RNA (259 nucleotides) under uncultured bacterium. RNAcentral's name for it is "partial 16S ribosomal RNA". It matches the Rfam family "Bacterial small subunit ribosomal RNA", at positions 524 to 776 of the family's 1533-position model. The record is from RNAcentral.
UACGUAGGGGGCAAGCGUUGUCCGGAUUUAUUGGGCGUAAAGGAGCUACGUAGGUGGUUCGGUAAGUCGGAUGUGAAUACUCCGAGGCUACCAACCUGGAGGGGUCAUUCGAUACUGCCGUGACUAGAGUUCGGUAGGGGAGUGUGGAAUUCCUGGUGGAGCGGUGAAAUGCGCAGAUAUCAGGAGGAACACCCGUAGCGAAGGCGGCACUCUGGGCCGAUACUGACAUUGAGGAGCGAAAGCGUGGGGAGCGAACAGG